This 102-nucleotide Y RNA is filed under the name Apaloderma vittatum (bar-tailed trogon). It matches the Rfam family "Y RNA". Rfam says of the family: Y RNAs are components of the Ro ribonucleoprotein particle (Ro RNP), in association with Ro60 and La proteins. Lineage: Eukaryota; Metazoa; Chordata; Aves; Trogoniformes; Trogonidae. The record is from Rfam by way of RNAcentral.
GGCUGGUCCAAUGGUGGUGGUAUUUAUAAUUAAUUGGUCACAGUCAGUUACAGAUUUCUUUGUUCUUUCUUCACUCCCACUGCUGCACUUGACUAGUCUUUA